GAAGGGGCCAACUAUUUAACUAAGCUCCCUUUGAAAAAAAAUCAGAAUUCUACCAUCAAGGAACUCCUGUCUUGAUUGAAGUAAAAUGGGCUUGUCACAGUGAAGUCAACAUGUAGCUGCCUCAUCAAUUUGAUCAGACUUUGAAUCUCGCUUUACAGAAUCGCUUGCUUUGGGGCCUGUCCAAAAUGUUGCUUUGAAACUGCCAAUAAAGCUGCUACUUGGACAUCUAUGGAGACAUUACUGUCUUAUGCUGUAUCCAGACUGGCCUGAAACUUGUUAUAUAGCCCAUGCUGGCC
This is a non-coding RNA of Peromyscus maniculatus bairdii (prairie deer mouse), 296 nucleotides long. Lineage: Eukaryota; Metazoa; Chordata; Mammalia; Rodentia; Cricetidae. The record is from RefSeq and is a predicted model, not a curated record.